CGUGAUACGCUGAUUUGACAGCAGCGAAUGAGCGGAAAGGUAGGAUUGGAUGCCGAGUUGCAGGAUUCAUCGAUUUUGCUCGCGUCCACCGCUCUGCUCCUGUUUGUCGCGCACUGCCGCUUGCUGGAUUCAUGCCUGGGCCACGCCUGACGUGCUCAUUGAUGAAUAGAAGAAAGCACAAUUUGCAUCUAAAUCAAAGCAAAUCAACACAAAAAAGGGAGUUUUCCUCCUGCGAGGUAUAGGAUUCCUUUCUCACUAUUUUUUUUUUUGCAUUUGAGCCUCAGCUGCGUACGCACGGGGGAAGCAGAGCUUCGAUGGUCAUGGUGUGCAGGAUGCAAAUCGAGUUCAGAUCCUGUCAUUGAAUCGCUGGUGCCAGCGGCUCUGCCCCCGCUCGCCGCACGCGCUUGCUCCGGUCUCGUCGCACGCGGUAUACUCCGCCGUGCCGAUGGGGCCUGCAGCGCCGCCUGCGCCGCUAGCUCCCGCCGAAUCAGCUUCGCGCAGACCCCGCGCCGGCACGGCUCGCGCUCGCCACUCGCCGCGCUCCGCACGUGUCGUGGCUCGCGCUCGCGGUGGAGAACCAACGUAGGAGGGGAUCGGGCGGGGCGACAUGGAGGGUUAUCGGGUUGGGAUGGGGAGGGAGUGGGA
This 645-nucleotide long non-coding RNA is filed under the name Setaria italica (foxtail millet). Its description in RNAcentral is "long non-coding RNA (SITA_LNC000419)". Lineage: Eukaryota; Viridiplantae; Streptophyta; Magnoliopsida; Poales; Poaceae. The record is from RNAcentral.